UCCAGUAUUUCUUGUACCCUACGAAAAU
This 28-nucleotide non-coding RNA is filed under the name Bombyx mori (domestic silkworm). Lineage: Eukaryota; Metazoa; Arthropoda; Insecta; Lepidoptera; Bombycidae. The record is from RNAcentral.